RNAcentral lists this ribosomal RNA (407 nucleotides) under Verrucomicrobiota bacterium. RNAcentral describes it as "Verrucomicrobia bacterium partial 16S ribosomal RNA". It matches the Rfam family "Bacterial small subunit ribosomal RNA", at positions 355 to 776 of the family's 1533-position model. The record is from RNAcentral. Lineage: Bacteria; Pseudomonadati; Verrucomicrobiota.
UGGGGAAUAUUGGACAAUGGUGGCAACUCUGAUCCAGCAAUUCUGUGUGUGUGAAGAAGGUUUUAGGACUGUAAAACACUUUUAGUAGGGAAGAAAGAAAUGACGGUACCUACAGAAGAAGCGACGGCUAAAUACGUGCCAGCAGCCGCGGUAAUACGUAUGUCGCGAGCGUUAUCCGGAAUUAUUGGGCUUAAAGGGCAUCUAGGCGGUUAAACAAGUUGAAGGUGAAAACCUGUGGCUCAACCAUAGGCUUGCCUACAAAACUGUAUAACUAGAGUACUGGAAAGGUGGGUGGAACUACACGAGUAGAGGUGAAAUUCGUAGAUAUGUGUAGGAAUGCCGAUGAUGAAGAUAACUCACUGGACAGCAACUGACGCUGAAGUGCGAAAGCUAGGGGAGCAAACAGG